Syngnathus acus (greater pipefish) is the source of this 1096-nucleotide long non-coding RNA. RefSeq lists it as uncharacterized. The record is from RefSeq and is a predicted model, not a curated record. NCBI's taxonomy places the organism in Eukaryota, Metazoa, Chordata, Actinopteri, Syngnathiformes, Syngnathidae. The transcript has 2 exons.
AGCGAGUUGGUCCUUUGCGCUCCAGCUGUUCACUACCUGUGCAGCUCUUGUGUUUGUCCGACCAGGGCGCAUGCGCAGUUCGCUUUUCUAAAAAUAGUAACUUUGGGGUAAUUGAGACAAGCCCCAUUGCAUUCAAGAACCGCAGAGGCGGAAGCAGGGCAACCAAAUGCAGCUUGGACCAGGGUUUAUUGAGGGAAAAGGGUGGUGGAGAAGAGGAUGAGUGGAACAAACAAGCAGGAGAGCAUGUUCACUAAGUGUCAAAAUUCUCCAGCAAACCAACAUACCCUCAGCCUCCACUGCCUGCAUCCAGAGUUUUGUUUUUGUUUUUCUUUGAAAAAACGUAUCAACUAUUUUGUUUUUCCAUGUGUCUCCGUCCCUGCCUUUGGGGGACCUACCACACCAAUCGUAAUAGAAUUAUCUGGUCAAAAUGGACUCCGCAGAGACUGAUAAGAUCAGGCAGACGUUGGUCUCCCAAGCGGCCCAUGUUGGAAUGCACAAGAAGGCCAUUCAAGAAAUCAUGGAUUUGCUCAGCAAACUCAACCACCCUGUCCAGCUACUUCCGGGAGCCAUUCAUUCUCCCUGUCAGUUAUUCAGGAGUCAUGUAGUGAGUUUCUUCACCAGUGUUCAAUCAGCAGCCCCCAAUUUAUGCCUCGGAUAUUUCCAAGAUGGCAUUGUUGUCCGAGAAAGCAUGGGCUGUUGCCGUGGCUAAAAGUAAUCCACGCCUAUGUAAUGUUGUUGACUGCCGAGGUGUGUACAAUUUUUGACACUCUAAAGCAUGGGUGUCAAACUCAAGGCCCUGGCGCCAGAUACGGCCCACCACAUAAUUUUGUGUGGCCCAUGAAGAAAAAUUUUGCAUCGACUUGGUGUCAUUGCAAAAAUUACAAAUUGUAUUCACUUUUUAAAAAUAGAGAUAUUGCUAGCAAUUUUUUAUUAUCAUUCAUCUUUUUGAACUAUUUGAACAGAUUUUACUAGUCUCUGAUUUCAAAACUAGUUAUUCAUCAGUUUGUUGUGGAGCCUAUGCUGUAUGUAUAUAGAAGCCGUUGACCGUCAUAAUGGCCCUCCAAGGGAAACUAUGACUACAAUGCGGCCCACGACA